UACGAAGGGGGCUAGCGUUGCUCGGAAUUACUGGGCGUAAAGCGCGUGUAGGCGGGUCGUUAAGAUGGGGGUGAAAUCCCGGAGCUCAACUCCGGAACUGCCUUCAUGACUGGCGGCCUGGACUCAAGGAGAGGCAAGUGGAAUUGCGAGUGUAGAGGUGAAAUUCGUAGAUAUUCGCAGGAACACCAGUGGUGAAGGCGACUUGCUGGACUUGUAGUGACGCUGAGACGCGAAAGCGUGGGGAGCAAACAGG
This 253-nucleotide ribosomal RNA is filed under the name uncultured bacterium. RNAcentral describes it as "partial 16S ribosomal RNA". It matches the Rfam family "Bacterial small subunit ribosomal RNA", at positions 524 to 776 of the family's 1533-position model. The record is from RNAcentral.